Molecule: long non-coding RNA, 396 nt
Filed under: Androctonus crassicauda
Lineage: Eukaryota; Metazoa; Arthropoda; Arachnida; Scorpiones; Buthidae
Source: RNAcentral
AAAUAGGAAUGAUAGUCAGCCAGCUAUUGAAAAUAUUGCAACUUAGCGAAAGAAUGAUCUAUAGAAUAUACACACAACAUAUAGAGACAGGAACAUUAUCCCCUAUGAAGUCUACUAGCCGUCCUCGAUUAUCAUUUCAGGAAGAGAAAAAAGUAUUAAUAAGUAUGAGUGAGGAAGAACUUUUUAAACGGUCGACAGUGCUUAGAGAAGACUUGGGAUUAGCUGUAAGCGUUGAUAUUAUGAAAAGACGAUAAGUAACCAGCUGAAAAACUACAACAAAAUAUCACAGAAAAGUUACAAUAUCAUUUUUAGGAAGUGUAGUUAAACAGGAAAUCAGAUUUAAAAAUUUAACCCCUUCAUUAGUUGUCUGACCGGAGUAUGCUCUUUUAAGUUGGU